Molecule: ribosomal RNA, 247 nt
Filed under: uncultured bacterium
Lineage: Bacteria
Description: partial 16S ribosomal RNA
Rfam family: Bacterial small subunit ribosomal RNA
Source: RNAcentral
AUACGGAGGGUGCGAGCGUUGUUCGGAAUUAUUGGGCGUAAAGCGCGUGUAGGCGGUUUGUUAAGUCUGAUGUGAAAGCCCUGGGCUCAACCUGGGAAGUGCAUUGGAUACUGGCAGACUUGAAUACGGGAGAGGGCAGUGGAAUUCCUGGUGUAGGAGUGAAAUCCGUAGAUAUCAGGAGGAACACCAGUGGCGAAGGCGACUUUCUGGACUGACCCUGACGCUGAGGUGCGAAAGCGUGGGUAGC